AUCUAGCUGACGAGUCCCAAAAAGAACGGAACAUUCGUCUUAGAU
Molecule: non-coding RNA, 45 nt
Filed under: Schistosoma mattheei
Lineage: Eukaryota; Metazoa; Platyhelminthes; Trematoda; Strigeidida; Schistosomatidae
Source: RNAcentral